AGAGUUUUAUCCUGGCUCAGGACGAACGCUGGCGGCGUGCCUAACACAUGCAAGUCGAACGGAGGUGUUUUGACUGAUCCCUUCGGGGUGACGAUGAUUCAGCUUAGUGGCGGACGGGUGAGUAACGCGUGAGCAACCUGCCUUUCAGUGGGGGACAACAGUUGGAAACGACUGCUAAUACCGCAUAAUAUCCUUUUGGGGCAUCCCUUUUGGAUCAAAGAUUUAUUGCUGAAAGAUGGGCUCGCGUCUGAUUAGCUAGUUGGUGGGGUAACGGCCCACCAAGGCGACGAUCAGUAGCCGGACUGAGAGGUUGAACGGCCACAUUGGGACUGAGAUACGGCCCAGACUCCUACGGGAGGCAGCAGUGGGGAAUAUUGGGCAAUGGGGGAAACCCUGACCCAGCAACGCCGCGUGAGGGAAGAAGGUCUUCGGAUUGUAAACCUCUUUUACCAGGGAAGAAGAAAGUGACGGUACCUGGAGAAAAAGCCACGGCUAACUACGUGCCAGCAGCCGCGGUAAUACGUAGGUGGCAAGCGUUGUCCGGAAUGAUUGGGCGUAAAGGGUGCGUAGGUGGCAGAUCAAGUCUGGAGUAAAAGGUAUGGGCUCAACCCGUACUGGCUCUGGAAACUGAUCAGCUAGAGAACAGAAGAGGACGGCGGAACUCCAUGUGUAGCGGUAAAAUGCGUAGAUAUAUGGAAGAACACCGGUGGCGAAGGCGGCCGUCUGGUCUGGAUUCUGACACUGAAGCACGAAAGCGUGGGGAGCAAAUAGGAUUAGAUACCCUAGUAGUCCACGCCGUAAACGAUGAGAACUAGGUGUUGGGGGAAUAACUCAGUGCCGCAGUUAACGCAGUAAGUUCUCCGCCUGGGGAGUAUGCACGCAAGUGUGAAACUCAAAGGAAUUGACGGGGGCCCGCACAAGCGGUGGAGUAUGUGGUUUAAUUCGAAGCAACGCGGAGAACCUUACCAGGCCUUGACAUCCCUUGCAGAGGUAUAGAGAUAUAUCCGAGGUUAUCAAGGAGACAGGUGGUGCAUGGUUGUCGUCAGCUCGUGUCGUGAGAUGUUGGGUUAAGUCCCGCAACGAGCGCAACCCCUGUCGUUAGUUGCCAGCAUUCAGUUGGGGACUCUAACGAGACUGCCAGUGACAAACUGGAGGAAGGUGGGGAUGACGUCAAAUCAUCAUGCCCCUUAUGACCUGGGCUACACACGUGCUACAAUGGUUGGUACAAAGAGAAGCGAAGCGGUGACGUGGAGCAAACCUCAUAAAGCCAAUCUCAGUUCGGAUUGUAGGCUGCAACUCGCCUACAUGAAGUUGGAAUCGCUAGUAAUCGCGAAUCAGAAUGUCGCGGUGAAUACGUUCCCGGGUCUUGCACUCACCGCCCGUCA
This 1385-nucleotide ribosomal RNA is filed under the name uncultured bacterium. Its description in RNAcentral is "bacterial SSU rRNA". It matches the Rfam family "Bacterial small subunit ribosomal RNA". The record is from RNAcentral.